AGCCUCAUUCUAGAUGCAAAUGGGAACUGUUGUGCAUGGUGUCCAGAUAUUACUGAUGUGGCCACACUGAGACAUAGGUUUUGUUUCCAUCACAGUAAGUUUAUUGCAGUGGUGACAAGGAGACCUGUAACAUGU
Balaenoptera musculus (blue whale) is the source of this 135-nucleotide small nucleolar RNA. RefSeq annotates it as small nucleolar RNA SNORA1. The record is from RefSeq and is a predicted model, not a curated record. The transcript has a single exon. NCBI's taxonomy places the organism in Eukaryota, Metazoa, Chordata, Mammalia, Artiodactyla, Balaenopteridae.